This 1120-nucleotide ribosomal RNA is filed under the name Enterococcus faecium. RNAcentral describes it as "partial 23S ribosomal RNA". It matches the Rfam family "Bacterial large subunit ribosomal RNA", at positions 153 to 1276 of the family's 2925-position model. The record is from RNAcentral. Lineage: Bacteria; Bacillati; Bacillota; Bacilli; Lactobacillales; Enterococcaceae.
AUUGUGUGAAUACAUAGCACAUUCGAGGUAGACGCAGAGAACUGAAACAUCUAAGUACCUGCAGGAAGAGAAAGAAAAUUCGAUUCCCUGAGUAGCGGCGAGCGAAACGGGAAAAGCCCAAACCAGCAAGCUUGCUUGUUGGGGUUGUAGGACUCCAAUAUGGUAGUUCUUUCAGAUAGUCGAAUGACUUGGAAAAGUCAGUCAAAGAGGGUAAAAACCCCGUAGACGAAAUGUGGAAGACACCUAGGAGGAUCCUGAGUACGGCGGAACACGAGAAAUUCCGUCGGAAUCCGGGAGGACCAUCUCCCAAGGCUAAAUACUCCCUAGUGACCGAUAGUGAACCAGUACCGUGAGGGAAAGGUGAAAAGCACCCCGGAAGGGGAGUGAAAUAGAACCUGAAACCGUGUGCCUACAACAAGUCAAAGCCCGUUAAUGGGUGAUGGCGUGCCUUUUGUAGAAUGAACCGGCGAGUUACGAUUGCAUGCGAGGUUAAGUUGAAGAGACGGAGCCGCAGCGAAAGCGAGUCUGAAUAGGGCGUUUGAGUAUGUAGUCGUAGACCCGAAACCAUGUGAUCUACCCAUGUCCAGGUUGAAGGUGCGGUAAAACGCACUGGAGGACCGAACCCACGUACGUUGAAAAGUGCGGGGAUGAGGUGUGGGUAGCGGAGAAAUUCCAAACGAACUUGGAGAUAGCUGGUUCUCUCCGAAAUAGCUUUAGGGCUAGCCUCGGAAUUGAGAAUGAUGGAGGUAGAGCACUGUUUGGACUAGGGGCCCAUCUCGGGUUACCGAAUUCAGAUAAACUCCGAAUGCCAUUCAUUCAUAUCCGGGAGUCAGACUGUGAGUGAUAAGAUCCAUAGUCGAAAGGGAAACAGCCCAGACCACCAGCUAAGGUCCCAAAAUAUAUGUUAAGUGGAAAAGGAUGUGGGGUUGCACAGACAACUAGGAUGUUGGCUUAGAAGCAGCCACCAUUUAAAGAGUGCGUAAUAGCUCACUAGUCGAGUGACCCUGCGCCGAAAAUGUACCGGGGCUAAACAUAUUACCGAAGCUGUGGAGUACACCUUUAGGUGUAUUGGUAGGAGAGCGUUCUAAGGGCGUUGAAGGCAGAUCGUGAGGACUGCUGG